This 75-nucleotide transfer RNA is filed under the name Armatimonadota bacterium. RNAcentral's name for it is "Armatimonadetes bacterium (hot springs metagenome) tRNA-Thr". It matches the Rfam family "tRNA". Rfam says of the family: Transfer RNA (tRNA) molecules are approximately 80 nucleotides in length. Their secondary structure includes four short double-helical elements and three loops (D, anti-codon, and T loops). Further hydrogen bonds mediate the characteristic L-shaped molecular structure. tRNAs have two regions of fundamental functional importance: the anti-codon, which is responsible for specific mRNA codon recognition, and the 3' end, to which the tRNAs corresponding amino acid is attached (by aminoacyl-tRNA synthetases). tRNAs cope with the degeneracy of the genetic code in two manners: having more than one tRNA (with a specific anti-codon) for a particular amino acid; and 'wobble' base-pairing, i.e. permitting non-standard base-pairing at the 3rd anti-codon position. Lineage: Bacteria; Bacillati; Armatimonadota. The record is from RNAcentral.
GCUGGUGUAGCUCAGCGGAAGAGCGGGGGAUUUGUAAUCCCCAGGUCGCGGGUUCGAAUCCCGCCGCCAGCUCCA